GGCACGAUGGCCGAGUGGUCUAAGGCGCUAGAAUCAGGUCUCUGUUGACUUAUCUAGUCCGAAAGGGCGCGAGUUCGAAUCUCGCUCGUGUCA
Non-coding RNA from Cerrena zonata, 93 nucleotides. Lineage: Eukaryota; Fungi; Basidiomycota; Agaricomycetes; Polyporales; Cerrenaceae. The record is from the annotation of a GenBank genome assembly.